Molecule: long non-coding RNA, 1492 nt
Filed under: Homo sapiens (human)
Lineage: Eukaryota; Metazoa; Chordata; Mammalia; Primates; Hominidae
Description: HSALNT0009102
Source: RNAcentral
GCAGAAGCAGGUCUGGCUCUUAGGCAAAACUGUGGAGCAAGCAGCUCUCAGCGACCCACCUCAUUUGGAGCUCCACUCCUACCAGCACCCUAUAGACCAAGCCCUGCCCUCUACAGUAUCACCCAGUUGGGCCCUAAAUUGCAUUCCAAAGACCCUGCUCCUGGAACAGCCUUCUGCAAUCAACACAACCUCUUGGAGGUUUUACUGCGUCUGGCACUCGCAGGUUCCCCUGCUCUCACUCUCUCUCUCUCUGUUUCCUUGCUGUGAAAAACGUGUUGACCAUCAGGCAUAUGGCAGAAUAAUUGGAUUUCAGGCAAGCCAAUGUGAGAAACCAGAAGGCAAAUCUGGUCAUUUGUGGGUAUACACAGGACAAAGAAAAAGGAGUGUAGAGAAACAGAGGCUGUCCUGGAGGUAAGCUGAGGCUGAAAGUAGUUUACUCGAUAAAGCCCUGUUGCUGUAAGACAAAGAAAACUUUGACUAUGUUGCAGCACUCUCGUAUCCAAAAAAGUGGAGUUAGGAGAAGGAAAGAAAGAAGGGAUGAAGGAAGGAAGGAGGGAGGGAGGGAAGGAAGGAGUGAAGGAGGGAAGGAGGGGGGAGGAAGGGAGGUGGGGAGGAAGGUGACAGGGAGAAAGAAAGGGAUGGAGUAAAGAAGGGGAAAUGGAAUGAGCAUUUAUUGAAUACCCACUAUAUAUAACUUUGCUAUUUGUUAUGUCAUUUAAUCCUCACCAUAGUCUGUAAGGUAGGUAAUAUAGUCUCCAUUUUUUUCAGAUAAGGAGAGUGAAGUUGAAAGGUUAAGUCAUGUGCCCAAAAUCACAGAGCUGAGAUUGGAACACAUAUCUGCCCGAUCCGAAAGUUCGGAAAAAAAAAGAAAAUGGUUAGGUUCUGGGAAAAUGUGGGGUUUUUUCUCCCCAUCCCCAGAGAUAGAUGUUUUUUAAAAUUUUUUAAAACAUAUUAAGAAAAAUCAUUUGGGGAACAUUGUACCCGGCAUGAUAGAAAACUGAAUUGAGAUAUGGGAUUGUUCUUCCUGAAAUAAAGAUAUCUGGUUCCUAUACUUACUUCAUACUGGUUUUUUUAAAAAGCAGAUAAUAUUUUUUACAUUUAUUUCUUCCACAAAUAAUUGGAAACACUAAGUGAAAGGCACUGUGCUAGUCACCAUUGAAGGUAUAACUGUGAACAAGGCAUGAAAUUUACAGUCUAGUAGAGAAGAAAAGUAAACAUGCAAUUAUGAUAGAGUUUGAUAAAUAUUAUAACAAGUGAAACCUCAGGGAGUUAUGGGAACAAGUUAAUAUUGACAAAGAGAAAUGCCAGAGUUUCAGGUUGAGGCUUAAGGCAUGAGUAAGCAAAGUGAAAACCCCUUUCUUCCACAAAAGAAGUUAGAAGUCAACGUUAAGUUUGGAGGAACUGCAUUCACGCGCACCCUCUCUCUUUCUCUCUCUCUCUCUCUCAAACAAUACUCUAAUUCUAGACAAUAAAAGAAAGACCUCUGCCACCU